CCUACGGGUGGCAGCAGUGGGGAAUAUUGGACAAUGGGGGGAACCCUGAUCCAGCGACGCCGCGUGAGGGAAGAAGUAUUUCGGUAUGUAAAGCUCUAUCAGCAGGGAAGAAAAUGACGGUAUCUGACUUAGAAGCCCCGGCUAACUACGCGCCAGCAGCCGCGGUACUACGUAGGGGGCAAGCGUUAUCCGGAUUUACUGGGUGUGAAGGGAGCGUAGACGGUGCAGCAAGUCUGAUGUGAAAGGUCGGGGCCCAACCCCGGGACUGCAUUGGAAACUGUUGAACUUGAGUACAGGAGAGGUAAGCGGAAUUCCUAGUGUAGCGGUGAAAUGCGUAGAUAUUAGGAAGAACACCAGUGGCGAAGGCGGCUUACUGGACUGUAACUGACGUUGAGGCUCGAAAGCGUGGGGAGCAAACAGGAUUAGAUACCCUUGUAGUC
This 440-nucleotide ribosomal RNA is filed under the name uncultured bacterium. Its description in RNAcentral is "partial 16S ribosomal RNA". It matches the Rfam family "Bacterial small subunit ribosomal RNA", at positions 338 to 795 of the family's 1533-position model. The record is from RNAcentral.